ACUGUCCCUAUCUACUAUCUAGCGAAACCACAGCCAAGGGAACGGGCUUGGCAGAGUCGGCGGGGAAAGAAGACCCUGUUGAGUUCGGGUGUAGUCGGCUUUUGCGAAGAGGUUUGAGGGGUGUAGAAUAGGUGGGAGAGUCCUCGCGGCUCGCCGGUGAAAUACCACUACUCUCGUAAUCUCUUUGCUUAUCCGGUUGAACGGUGAAUAGCGGCGUCGGCUCUACUCGAGGCGGCGUCCGCGAUGAGUGUGGAAUUGAAGGCGGACGGCGGCGGCGUCGGCAACCCCGGCGUCGUCGGCACAACCGACCGUCGAUCCCGUUCGGAGACAGUUUCCGAUGGGCACCUUGACUGGGGCGGUACAUUUGUCAAACGGUAACGCAAGUGUCCUAAGGUCAGCUCAGCGGGGACGGAAACCCCGCGUAGAGCAAAAGGGCAAAAGCUGACUUGAUUUUGAUUUUCAGUACGAAUACAGACCACGAAAGUGUGGCCUAUCGAUCCUUUUGUUCAGUUUGCGAGUUUCAAACAAGAGGUGUCAGAAAAAUUACCACAGGGAUAACUGGCUUGUGGCAGCCAAGCGUUCAUAGCGACGUUG
This 594-nucleotide ribosomal RNA is filed under the name Bonellia sp. (in: spoonworms). RNAcentral's name for it is "eukaryotic LSU rRNA". It matches the Rfam family "Eukaryotic large subunit ribosomal RNA", at positions 2338 to 2865 of the family's 3401-position model. The record is from RNAcentral. Lineage: Eukaryota; Metazoa; Annelida; Polychaeta; Echiuroidea; Bonelliidae.